CACACCCUCACAGCCCUUCGGAAAUUGAAGAUGGAUGGUCUUCCAAAUCUGGAGUCAAUUGCAGAAGGUGGGGGUUUGCCUCCCAACCUCCUAUAUUUUAGCAUUCAGAAUUGUGAGAGACUGAGGGCUUCAUCAGUGCAAGGACUUGUCUCCCUUGAAAAAUUUGAAAUUGGUGGCAGGGGAAGUGACGAGAUCUUGGAGAAGUUGCUCAAGCAACAGCUGCUCCCUACCACUCUUCAACGCCUCGAGAUCAGUCAACUUUCAAGUCUGAAAUCUUUGGACGCCAAGGGACUUAAACACCUCACUUCUCUUUAUUUUCUGAGCAUCUCUAAUUGUUCUGCCCUGGAAAAAAGGUAUAAGAAGAAGACGGGAAAAGCUUGGGCCGAGAUAUCUCACAUUCCAUGCAUCAAGAUAGGCAAAGAAAUGAUCAUAUGAUAUGAGCUCUCUCUCUCUCUCUCUGACACACAUUCCUUGCAUCCGAUGUUUCACUCUCAACUCUCAAAUCAAACUCAGGACAGCAUACCUUCUCGUAGAGAGCUUUUCAUUUGCAAGGUUUCUUUGCAUGCCAUUUCCAGAUGAGGGGUUUGCCAUUGUAUAUAGCCUUACAAUUGUUACAACGAGGAGAAACAGAGAGGCUCGCCUGGAAUAUCUCAAUUUGACGCAUUUCUGCAUACAGGCAUCGAAUGUACAACAUUUUUAGUGACAAUAUCUUGGAGACGUUGCUCGAGCAACAGCUGCUCCCUACCACUCUUCACACUCAGCGCAUCAACCAAAUUACAAGUCCGAAAUCUUUGGAGAGAAAGGGACACCUCACUUCUCUUCAACACCUACGAAUGGAAAGCUGUCCUAGUCUCGAAUUUCUGCAACUUCAACACCUCACUUCUCUUCAAAGGCUAUAUAUUAGUUGGGGUGACAAUCUCCAAUUCAUGCCAAAAGAGGGUUUGCAGCCAUCUCUUUCUUUACUGCAGAUCUACAAAUGUUCUGGCCUGGAGAAAAGAACGCUACUUUGUCAACUUUGUUGGCUCAGCUUCCAACUGGGGCCCACCGCCAUCUCUCUCUCUCUCUCACAUCCCUUGUAUCCAAUGUUUCACUCUCAACUCUCAAAUCAAACUCAGUCUUUUUGCAGGACAGCAUACCAUGGAGAGCUUUACAUUUGCAAGGUUUCUUUACGUGGCAUUCCCAGAGCAGGGUUCACCAUUGUAUAUAGCCUUUUGUUUUUCUGCAAAAACAAUUGUCACAGCAAGGAGAAACAGAAAGGCCCACCUGGAAUAUCUCAAUUUGACGCAUUUCUGCAAACAGGCAUCGAAUGUACAUCAUUUUAGGUUACAUGGCAGAAAACUCACAUUCGUACUUCCGUCCCAAUUGGCAUGCCGCCUCAUCUUCUUUAUACUGUUACCAGCUUGAAGCUUUUGUAGAUAUGUUAGGCUCUUGUAGUUCCGAGUGCUUGACAAAUUGAAAGUUCCAAUUAGAUCUUUUAGCAGAAGUUGUGGAGGAGUUAGCCGCACAGAAUGAAAAACUACAAAUGCCAUCUUCUUUCAUACCAUUUUUCAAAAGUCCACUCAUCCCAUUCUUCUUCAACAACGCAGGAAGUUAUACUAGUCGCAUGGUUCAAUGGAGACUCGAGAAACUUUCUCAUGUUUGGAGGUCAAAGCAACUCAUGUAGGCAACCAUGCAUGAUUUCAGAGUCGAAGCUGAUGCUGUAAUCAUAAAUUUCACCUUAGCUGCUUCACUGUAAAUGCCUUUCUGUGCUCGCUUCUUCUGAUCAAACGAAGCAGUUUCAUACAUUGCAUGCAUUGUUUCAUCAGCAUUUCAGACGGAAAAUGAGCCUUGAAUUGUCUUCUAAGCCAAUGGAUUUUUCUAGAAUCUGAAGUGCAAUGGAAAAUUACUGAAUUGAUCUACACAAAGAGUAAACAUUUUUUCUGUUGGAUGCUGGAAGUGCCUCCUAUAAGUGGCUAAGUUGCGAUAUGUGGUGCCAUCAAAUACUCUGCAAAGGGUUCAAGUUGACACCGGAGUUGAACAAGGAUUAGGUCAGCUGUAUAUUUCGCGGAACAGAUCAAGCAUAGUCAUACAUGGCAUGGGUCACUUUCAUCAUCAUUUCAGACGUAAAAUCAGCCUUCAACUGUCUACUGAGUCAAUAGACCUUUCUAGGUAUCUCAAGUGCAAUGGAAAAUUCAUGACUGACUUAAAGAUUCACAAAGAACUCUUCGAAAUGUGGACUGCAGAGAGAUUUGCUGAUGAUUGCAACACUUGCAGAGAUAUAGGGUGAAGGAAUCAGAGCUGACCGUGAGGGCAGCUGAUGCGCAAUGUUAUUGCAACUGGCAACAUGGUCCGAAGUGACAAUUUCAUUCAGAAGCAAGGCUCUAGUAAGGAAAUUGGUCGAGGUUGGGGCAGGGAUGAUUGACGGUGAAAUGGGUGUUAAUUUUUCUCACAGCCCAUUCUCAAAGUUUUUAUUUGCAAAUGUUAUUGGAGUAUUUUUAUUGAAAGGAGAUGACAUGUUCCCUAGAAUAGCCAAUCUAAGUUCCUCCAAGUUUUUUAUUUUUAUUUUUUAAAUUUAAGCAAUCUGUGGUCUUAGAUUGAUCUGGUGGUGCAAAUCAGUCCUAGUUUCUUUUCCAAAAUGUCAUCAAUCGGAACCUUGUAAUUGAGAGCAAUAUGCUAAAUGUUGUUGGAUUGGAUCUAUCCUCUUCAUUGUAAACCUAAUGUCUACGAGGCCUUCAAGGUGUUUAUGCCUAACGUUGAGAAUUUGUAAUAUGAGUUAUUUACACAAACACCCCCCUAAGGUUUUCGGUGUUUUCAC
Molecule: non-coding RNA, 2794 nt
Organism: Prunus mume (Japanese apricot)
Lineage: Eukaryota; Viridiplantae; Streptophyta; Magnoliopsida; Rosales; Rosaceae
Source: RefSeq, a predicted model, not a curated record